AAUUUUGGACAAGGGGGGAAACCCUGAGCCAGCCAUCCCGCGUGGAUGACGAAGGCCUUCGGGCUGUAAAGUACUUUUGGCAGAGAAGAAAAGGUAUCUCCUAAGACCAGAGACUGCUGACGGUAUCUGCAGAAUAAGCACCGGCUAACUACGUGCCAGCAGCCGCGGUAAUACGUAGUGUGCAAGCGUUAAUAGGAAGUACUGGGCGUAAAGCGUGUGUAGGCGGUUCGGAAAGAAAGAUGUGAAAUCCCAGGGCUCAACCUUGGAACUGCAUUUUUAACUGCCGAGCUAGAGUAUGUCAGAGGGGGGUAGAAUUCCACGUGUAGCAGUGAAAUGCGUAGAUAUGUGGAGGAAUACCGAUGGCGAAGGCAGCCCCCUGGGAUAAUACUGACGCUCAGACACGAAAGCGUGGGGAGCAAA
Molecule: ribosomal RNA, 420 nt
Filed under: uncultured bacterium
Lineage: Bacteria
Description: partial 16S ribosomal RNA
Rfam family: Bacterial small subunit ribosomal RNA
Source: RNAcentral